CCCCGCCCCCCCCUUUCCACUUGCAUCUGUCAAGUGGACUGCCCCUUCCCCACAGUGGCCAAAAAAUGGAGCUUUUUCCAUUCUUUGGGACAGUAAGACAGAGCGAGGACCAGGCACAGUUGUGAGAAGGAUAAUAUACUGAAGAAAAAAGGAAAUUACUUACAGACCCCCUGCCUUCUUCCUUUACAUAGAUUGUAACCCUAACAUCCAGCCUGGAGAUUUUCUGAGAACACGACACCCUGGAGAGAAAUUCCCUAAAGAUCAUUUGGAAGUGGCAGCAUCUCUGACAGAAAAAGAAAGCAAAAAAUUAUCAAUAUCCUCAGAGAGAUAAGACAGGAUAGUCUAUUUUUUAAAUAUUUUUUAUAUUUAUAUGUAUUUUUAUAUGCCAUUUUGAAUUUAAUUUUAUUUGCUUAAAUUUUAUUUUUUUAUUUUGAAAAUUUUUUAAUUUAAAUUCAAGUUAGUUAACAUAUAGUAUAUUAUUAGUUUCAGGGCUAGAACUUAGUGAUUCAUCAGUUGCAUAUAACACCCAGGGCUCAUUCCAUCAAGUGCCCUCCUUAAUGUCCAUCACCCGGUUACCACAUCUCCCCACGCACCUCCCCUCCAGCAACCCUCAGUUUGUUUCCUAGAGUUAAGAGUUUCUUAUGGUUUGGCCUGGGUGGCUCAGUUGGUUAAGUGACUGCCUUCGGCUCAGGUCAUGAUCCUGGAGUCCCGGGAUCGAGUCCCGCAUCGGACUCCCUGCUCGGCAGGGAGUCUGCUUCUCCCUCUGACCCUCCCCCCUCUCAUGUGCUCUCUCUCUCUCUCAUUCUCUCUCUGUCAAAUAAUAAAUAAAAUCUUAAAAAAAAAAGAGUUUCUUAUGGUUUGUUUCCCUCUCUGUUUUUAUCAUUUUAUUUUUCCUUCCCUUCCCUCUUUUCCUCUGUUUUGUUUCUUAAAUACCACAUAUGAGUAAACAUAUGGUAUUUGUCUUUCUCUGACUGACCUAUUUCACUUAGCGUGAUACCCUCUAUUUCCAUCUACGUCAUUGGAAAUGGCAAGAUUUUCUUCUUUUUGAUGGCUGAGUAAUAUUCCAUCGUGUGUGUGUGUGUGUGUGUGUGUAUCUCAUAUCUUAUAUAUAUCACAUCUUCUUUAUCCAAAGGAUACAAGAAUAGUGAUUCGAAGGGGCACAUGCACCCCAAUGUUUAUAGCAGCAACGUCCACAAUAGCCAAAAUAUGGAAAGAGCCCAGAUGUCCAUUGACAGAUGAAUGGAUUAAAUGCUAUUUUUAAAAAGGAACAGUUAGAGAACAAAAAAAGAUCUCAGAAAUUUAAAUAUGAUCCCAGAAAAAAAAAAAAAAAACUCACCAGAAGAGGUGGAAACUAGAAAGUACAGCAAAAAAUAAGACAUGGAAAAUAGAAGAUAUAAGGGCAAAAGCAGUUUAUUUGGGAGAUGAUCCACCUAUAGCGUGUGGGGAAGUGAAACCAGGAAGCUACUGUAUCCAGCAAGAUACUAUGAAUAACUGGAACUUGAUUCCUUGGGGAGACUCUGCGAGACCAGUGUGGAAAUCACGGCUCAAAGUUAUCCCCACUCAGGGCUGAGCGAGCUGAGCUAUUUAUUCUGCUAACUCUCAUUGCUCAUUGGUUAAGAGCUGCUCCCUAGGAGGAGGGGGUUAAUUACCCCCAACUCUUCAUGAGCAAACCUUUGGUAUCCAGAAGAAGCCCUCAGGCAAAGAGACAUUUGUACUGGAAACGACUGGAGGAUGCACUCCACCAAAACAAUGGAGUGAAUCAAGAAAGAGGAAGAGACAGAAUUUAGGAACCAGAAUAUUUGACAUAAGAGAUGAAGGGAAUCCCCAGGAUGUGGUGAAAGGGUGGAGUGGGGAACUGCCAGUUAUUAAUAUGGAACUAUUUGAUUCUUUCAACUAUGUGCAUGUUUAUUUUCGAUAUAAAUUAAAAUCAGUAAUUUGUCUUUUUUCUUCUGCUGCCUGAGAAAGGGAGGAGGUGAGACAGAGAAUGCGGAUCCUUCCUAGCUGAUAAGAACCUGGGAAGGUAAAGUGAAACUCUUUUGUUCCUUGGGUCCGUCAAUCCAGCAGGGCCAUUCUCUUUCCAUCUCCCGUUUAGGCAGGAAGAGAAAUUCUGAGCAACUGGGAAAUUAAGACUUAAAAUAUUGAAAAGAGCUGUUGGUGCCAAACUGACCUAAAAUCUGGGGCUGCCCUAGGAGGGUUCUGACCCAAGGAAGCGAUCCAAGGUCUGUGGCCCUAUCAAGACACCAGAGUCUACCACUUUCUGAUCGCAGGCAAGACAGCCACGGGAAUGAGGCCUCCUGAAAACUGACUUAGUCCUCCUUUCUCUUCCUAUGUUGGAGGAUGGAAGCCGCGUGAGGACGGGAGCCACGUCAGCUCUGUUUCCCACUGUGUCCUUAGUGUCAACGCAGCCCUGGGGACAGCAGAUGGGGGGUGUCCGUGGCGAGCGGGAGUGAAGUGCUUUCGUCCUGCCCGCACCACAGCAAGCCCUUCCCACGUACCACCUCGCUUUUACUCUCACGGCAACCCUAAAUACUGUCAUGUGGAGAGCCAGGCAUGCGUGCAGACAGAAGAGCAGGUGGAGGUGAAGGCAGAGAUGGCCCCGAUGCCGCAGAAGCCAAGGAAUAGCAAAGAUGGCCAGAAAAACCACCCGAAGCUAGGGGAGGGGCCUGGAACACAUUCUCCCUCACAGCCCUCGGGAGAACCAAUCCAGCAGACACCUUGAUCUCAGACUUCCAGCCGCCAGAACUGGAGAGAAUCGAUUUCUGUUGUUUAAGCCCUCAGUUUGUGGUACAUUAUUGUGUUGUGGCAGCCCUAGCAAACUAAUAAAAGUAGUUUCACCCAAUUUUGUAAAACAAAACAAACCCUAUAUAUGUCAUGGAUUAUUCUCUCUCUCUCUCACGUGCAUGCACACACACACACACACACAGUGAAAGGAAGUAUAUAAAGAAGUGAACAGUGGCUCUAUGGGAAGAGUGGGUGAUGGGUAAUUUUGCUUUGUGCCUUUCUCUGCACCUUUGGGUUUUUCCUCAGUUCCCUUACAUCCCUACAAUAUUAUAUAUUAUUACAUAGACACAUCUUUGGGCUUGUUUCCUUAUCUGUAGUUUGAGAAUAGCCAUACCAGGGGCGCCUGGGUGGCUCAGUCGUUAAGCGUCUGCCUUCGGCUCGGGUCGUGAUCCUGGGAUCCUGGGAUCGAGCCCUGCAUCGGGCUCCCUGCUCGGCGGGAAGCCUGCUUCUCCCUCUCCCGCUCCCCCUGCUUGUGUUCCUGCUCUUGCUAUCUCUCUCUCUGUCAAGUAAAUAAAUAAAUUCUUAAAAAGAGAGAAAGAGAGAAUAGCCAUACCAGUCACCCAGCAUUGUCGUGAAGCAUAAGGUGCCCGACGUGCCUGGCUGCUGGUCAGUUGGUGUCCCUAGAGGAGGGAGAGCAGCUCCAAAGAAGUAAAGCGGGGCAUAAUAGCUGUGUUCUCCUACCUCUCAUUAGGGGAGGGCUCCGUUCUUACGAGAAGGCUUCACCAUGGCUGCUAAGCAGGGCACGUGGAUGCGGCUUGGCACCGGUCUCUGUAUGUGGCAGGGGUGGAUGUGGAGAGUGAAUUGGCACAGGAGAGCUGGCUGGACACCUUGGGUUUGGGAGGGUCAGCGAAGGAAAGCAAGAGAGGUUAGAAGGUUGAUUGGGGAAAGAUUGGUUAAAUGAGGACAGCUUAAUCUGU
Long non-coding RNA from Mirounga angustirostris (Northern elephant seal), 3698 nucleotides. RefSeq lists it as uncharacterized. The transcript has 5 exons. Lineage: Eukaryota; Metazoa; Chordata; Mammalia; Carnivora; Phocidae. The record is from RefSeq and is a predicted model, not a curated record.